CACGCCGUAAACGAUGAUUACUCGAUGUUUACGAUACACAGUCAGCGCCUUAGGGAAACCAAUAAGUAAUCCACCUGGGGAGUACGAUCGCAAGAUUGAAACUCAAAGGAAUUGACGGGGGCCCGCACAAGCGGAGGAGCAUGUGGUUUAAUUCGAUGAUACGCGAGGAACCUUACCUGGGCUAGAACGUAGAAUGACUAUAGGAGAAAUCUUAUAUCCCUUCGGGGCAGUCUACGAGGUGCUGCAUGGUUGUCGUCAGCUCGUGCCGUGAGGUGUCGGGUUAAGUCCCAUAACGAGCGCAACCCCUAUCUUUAGUUGCCAACAGGUCAAGCUGGGGACUCUAAAGAAACUGCCUACGCAAGUAGU
This 366-nucleotide ribosomal RNA is filed under the name uncultured bacterium. RNAcentral's name for it is "bacterial SSU rRNA". It matches the Rfam family "Bacterial small subunit ribosomal RNA", at positions 796 to 1166 of the family's 1533-position model. The record is from RNAcentral.